UGCAGGCCUUUGCUGCUUUCAGCUUGCAAAAGUAUCCUUUUGUUCUUGAGACCGCCCCUUUUCCCGGGGAUGAAAUCUCCAUUUUGAAAAGCCUUUUUGCUUUUUUGCAGAAAAGAAAGGAUCUCAGAUGUGCUUGUAAUCAAGGCCAGCUCAGACAAGCCAUCCUAGAAUAUAUCUUUAAAACAUCAGGAGAAUCCACCCCUUUGAAAUGUGAUGCUGGAGAAGAGUGCAACAGAAACCACGGACAACCACGGACAACAGCAACAAAGAAUACAUUUGUCCCAAUGCCAAAAUUUAUCACUACAAGCCAAAAUGAGGCUAUCAUACUUUGGAGAAAUCACGAGAAACAUGACUCAAUAGAAAAUGCAAUAAUGCUCAGAAAAAAAUGGGAAAAUGUUAACAAGGCAUUUGCCAGAUCUUAGAAGACUUAAAAACAAAAUAGCAUUACUGCUUGCUUAUUAACAUUAACAUAUUAUUAACAUAAUAUGCUGGUCUCCAGAAAGGCUUAAAGAAUGGGAUACUAACUCUGCAAAUAAAAUAUCUGUGCAGUCCA
This is a long non-coding RNA of Anolis carolinensis (green anole), 553 nucleotides long. RefSeq lists it as uncharacterized. NCBI's taxonomy places the organism in Eukaryota, Metazoa, Chordata, Lepidosauria, Squamata, Anolidae. The record is from RefSeq and is a predicted model, not a curated record. The transcript is spliced from 2 exons.